RNAcentral lists this ribosomal RNA (482 nucleotides) under uncultured bacterium. RNAcentral describes it as "partial 16S ribosomal RNA". It matches the Rfam family "Bacterial small subunit ribosomal RNA", at positions 30 to 507 of the family's 1533-position model. The record is from RNAcentral.
AUUGAACGCUGGCGGCAUGAUUUACACAUGCAAGUCGAACGGUAACAGGCCGCAAGGUGCUGACGAGUGGCGAACGGGUGAGUAAUGCAUCGGAACGUGCCCAGUCGUGGGGGAUAACUACUCGAAAGAGUAGCUAGUACCGCAUACGAUCUAUGGAUGAAAGCGGGGGACCGUAAGGCCUCGCGCGAUUGGAGCGGCCGAUGUCAGAUUAGGUAGUUGGUGGGGUAAAGGCUCACCAAGCCAACGAUCUGUAGCUGGUCUGAGAGGACGACCAGCCACACUGGGACUGAGACGCGGCCCAGACUCCUACGGGAGGCAGCAGUGGGGAAUUUUGGACAAUGGGCGCAAGCCUGAUCCAGCAAUGCCGCGUGCAGGAAGAAGGCCUUCGGGUUGUAAACUGCUUUUGUACGGAACGAAACGGCUCCGGUUAAUACCCGGGGCUAAUGACGGUACCGUAAGAAUAAGCACCGGCUAACUACGUG